Molecule: long non-coding RNA, 771 nt
Filed under: Pongo abelii (Sumatran orangutan)
Lineage: Eukaryota; Metazoa; Chordata; Mammalia; Primates; Hominidae
Description: lincRNA
Source: RNAcentral
UUUUUCCUUUCUGAUUCUUCCAGAAGAGGACUAAAUUGGUUGGUGGAUGAUAGUUGCCCUUUGUAUAGAGGCUGGAUGUAGAAGGUGCUGCAAGCUCUGCAAGCUGAUUAGUUAAUGUGGAAGCUGAAACCUACCUUGGGAAGCUGACCAUUGACCAUUGUCUUGAUUCUACCUGGGUUGCUUCCUUGUUUCUCUGUAGGUUUAUAACAAAGGGUUAAGGCUGAACAGAUCUCUGCAGUUACAAUUAUUCAUACUAGAAGAUCCUGCCAACCUCUUUGUUAUUUGAGCAGCUGGAUGAGAUUCUUGAUUUCCAUAAUCUGUACCUGGAGGUUUAUACAGGGGAGGAUCACUGGGGCAGACUUGAACCAUGGUGCCCACAAGUGGGGAGGGUGCUCCAGCAGCCAUGGAAAGAACUUCCUUCUGCAGUUGGAGACAGCCUUCUGUGUGGGCUGAAGGACAGAGUGUGAUUUUCCACUUGGAAGAGACUCUAGGGCUCUCCAGAGAGGGAAGCCCUGCUGACCCAUUUCAGUAGACUGUGACACUUCAGCGACCUGCAAAUUCUACACAUUAGAGUUCAUAUUUUAUACAAACUCCGUACACCUAAGAUGUGGACUUAACAUUUCUACCAACAACAUCCAACUUCCAACAAAAGAUGCAGGCCCAUCAGAAGAUGAAAGCUACUAAUGAAGAUGCAUUAAAGAUGAUAUUUAUGGCCACCCCUUAGGGAAAAAAAAAGAUUCAUAAAUAAUUUCAUGGAAAUUACACCCAAAA